Molecule: small nuclear RNA, 103 nt
Filed under: Vulpes vulpes (red fox)
Lineage: Eukaryota; Metazoa; Chordata; Mammalia; Carnivora; Canidae
Source: RNAcentral
UCUCUCAAAUAAAUAAAACCUUAAAAAAUUGGAGCAACACAGAAAAGAUAGCAUGCCCCCUGUGCAAGGAUGACACACAAAUUGAGAAACGAUCCAUAUUUUA